RNAcentral lists this long non-coding RNA (8050 nucleotides) under Homo sapiens (human). Its description in RNAcentral is "non-protein coding RFX3-AS1:13". The record is from RNAcentral. Lineage: Eukaryota; Metazoa; Chordata; Mammalia; Primates; Hominidae.
AGUUUCUGAGGCGCCGGCGGUGUUCCUGGUAGCGUCAGCCUCCUGGCUUUUCCUUUUCCUGGACGCUUCAGGGCUCCGCGGCCUGCGCUAGACUGGAGGGUCCGCGUCACUCUCGCCCUCCUGCUUUCCGCGCUCUCACCCGCUCCCGCCUCCUGAGGGCACGACUUGUGGAGGAGCGCGGGCGGCGGGGCGUGAGCGAGCUGCCUCUGCCGCCAUCUUAGAGAAGGCGAGCGUGGGGUGUGCGUGGGCGCGAGUCGGCCUCCCGCGGUGCCGCCGCAGCGUGGCGCGGAGAGAAAGUCCUUGUACCCUUCGCCUUCCGCCAUAAUGCUUUAAAAAAAAAAGUCUGGGGCCGGGCGUGGUGGCUCACGCCUUUAAUCUCAACACUUUGGGAGGCCGAGCGGGUGGAUCACCUGACAUCGGGAGUUCGAGACCAGCCUGACCAACAUGGAGUUACCCCAUCUCUACUAAAAAUACAAAAUUAGCUGGGUGUGGUGGCACAUACCUGUAAUCCCAGCUACUUGGGAAGCUGAGGCAGGAGAAUCGCUUGAACCUGGGAGGCAGAGGUUGCGGUGGGCCGAGAUCGCACCAUUGCACUCCACCCUGGGCAACAAGAGCAAAACUCGGUCUCAAAAAAAAAAAAAUAGUCUGGAAACAAUUCAAAUGUAUAUCAAUAGGAGGAUGGGAAGACAAAUUGUGGGCCCAGCACAAUGACUUAACACCUGUAAUCCCAACACUCUGGGAGGCCAAGCCAUGAGGAUCACUGGAGGCCAGGAGUUUGAGACUAGCCUGAGCAACAUAGCGAGACUCUGUCUUUACAAAAAAAAAUUAAAACUUAGCUGAGCAUGUUGGCACAUGCCUGGAGUCCCAGCUACUUGGGAGGCUGAGGCAAGAGAAUUGCAUGAAUCCAGGAGUUCAAGGUUGCAGUGAGCCGUGAUCACACCACUGUACUUCAGCCUGGGUGAGAGCAAGACCUUGUCUUUAAAAAGUAAAAGAGUAAAACAAAUUGUGAUACAGUCAUACGAUGGAGUAUUAUUGAGCAAGUCAAAGGAAAGGACUGCUGAUACAACACGGACAAAUCUCAAAAACAUUGCAUUUGGCAAAAGAAGCCAGACACAGAGUACAUAGCAUAUGAAUCCAUUUAUAUAAAAUUUAAGAACAGGAAAAAGUAAUCUGUGUUUAGUAUCUUCUUAUGGCAGAGGCAGUAGGUUGGGAUUUUAGUGGAAAGGAUUAUGAGGGAACAUGGUAGGAUGGUGAAAAUGUUCUGCACUGUCUCAGCUGCACUAAUGACAUAUAGCUAUUAAAAUCUAUUAAUUAAAACAAAAUUCAUUUCCACUGUCACAUUAGCUACAUUUUAAAUGUUCAAUAGCCACAUGUGGCUACUGCCUACUAAGUUGGACAGUGCAAAUACAGACUUCUGUUAUCUCAGAAGUUCUACUAGAGAGUUCUAGUCUAGACCUUGUUUUAUGCACAUGUUUACAUUUUUCAAAAUUGUAAUUAAUAUGCAUUGUAUGCCAGUAAUACCUGCCCCCAAACCCUAUAAAUCAUUAAUAGAAUUUUUAUUACUCUAUUUUAAUCUACUAAUUAGCCCAUGUUUUCCAUAAUAUUUUUGUUCAACCCUGGGGAGAAAGGAUAAAUAGUAAAAUUCUUGGCAAAUUUUCAAAUAUGUAAUUGUGACAUACAAUAGAUAGCAUUGAUUUUCCGCUCCAAAAAAUGAGUUCUGCUGCUUUAUAAUUUUGAAUGCAUCUAGAAACAAGAAAUUUCUUUUGAGGGCUUAAAGUGAACUCUAGAUGAAUACAGAAAAAAUUUUUUCUAUUGGAAUCAAGUAUCUUAAACGUGGCGAUCAUACAACCUUCUUCUAAGGUAACACUUAAGAGCGUUUUGGGAGAUUUUGGUGCUAGCUCUAUGACUAGGUUUAGAAAGUCAAAUAAGCUCGGUAGGUAACACUUCAGACUCAAGCCUUUUGGAAGUAGAAGAAAACUAAGUUUGUAAGUGAAGGAUAAAAAGACCUGAAUGAUCUCAAUUCUAAAAUUCUGAUUUUAAUGGAUUUUAAGAGAUGGAAUACCAGGUGAAUUGAUUCAAAAUAUUAAAUAUAUGUGUUUAUAUAGUACUUCAGUGAAAUUAAGAAAAAUUUUUGGUGGAGUAAGUACCUUAAUAAUGUUAAUAAAUAUUUCUACCAGUGUUUUUUAAGACCUUUGUGAACCCCAAGUAGAUUUUUACAAGACAAUGAACUUUAACUGUUAAAGAUUAAUUAUUAUAAAUGAAUCAGCAGUUCAUGUCAAUAAUAUGUGCUGGAAAGUAUUUUCUCAAUUAUUGUCAAUUAUAUAUAAAAAAUGAUUUUAUUUGAUCCAAAUUCUUUAACUGCCAAAUUCUUGUUUUCUUUCUCUCUCUCUCUCUCCCCCUCCCUCUCUCUCCCUCUCCCUCUCUCUCCCUCUCUCUCUGCCCCCUCCCUCUCUCCCCACCUUUCCCUCUCCCUCUGCCUCUCUCUCUUCCUCUCCCUCUCCCUCUCCACUUCCUCCCUCCCCUUCCCUUCCUCCCUUCCUCUACCUUUUUUUUUUCUUAUAAUGUAAUAUGUAGUCUGGAGAAAACAUCUCCCAAGUUCUGUUGGGCCAUUCUCCCUAUUGGAAGUAUACUAAUAGUAUCUGCUCACUGGAACAUGCCAUAUAUGUCACCUGCCCCACAUACUGAUAUCACAAUAAUAUGUAAAACCUUCAUUUAAAUUGUUUUUGAAUGUGUAUAUCAAUUGUUACAGCAUAUGACUGAACUUUUUUCAUCCUUAAAAAUUUUUUUAAGCAAUAUGACACAACCACUAAUGAAGAAAAAUAAAGAUUACUGAUUGACAUUACAUGUAUUUGCCUCUUGAUGCCUUGUUUGUUUUGAAAGAGAGAAUUUACGUGCGUGCAAUAUUUUUCCAAAAAUUUUUUUUUAGCUUACUAACAUUUUUGUUUUGAGGGCAGGGAACAGAAAAAUACACAUUUUACAGUGGGGUGUUUAAAACACUUGCCCGCAAGUACUGUUUGAAAUGUUAUGUGGUACUACUGUCAUAAAAGAGAUUAAGGGCCAGGUGCCAUGCCUUACACCUUUAGUCUCAGCACUUUGGGAGGCCAAGCCUGGGCAAGAAAGACACCCUGUCUCUACAAAAAAAUGAAAAAAUAAAUUAGCUAGGCAUGGUGGUGCGUGCCUGUAGUCCCAGCUACUUGGAAGGCUGAGGCAGGAGGAUUACUUGAGCUCAGGAGUUCAAGGAUGCAGAGCCAUGGUCACACCACUGCACUCCAGUCCCGGUAAAAGAGUAAGACCCUGUCUCAAAAAAAAUUUAAAGAUUAAGGCCAUUUUAAAGACUUGGUUUGAAGACUUCCAACCCCAUAUAAUAUUAAACACAUUAAAAUACAUCCACAUCACAUAAAAUAUACAUGACUAAAAAUUGAGUUUAAAAAUGACAAUAAUGGUAUGUUUUGUAGACAUUAAUUACAUAGUUAUUAUUUGCCACUUUUCAUAUUUUGAAGUCAACUUUUUUUUUUUAGAUCCCCAACAUUUUCAAAAGACCUUGAGAACUGCAUAAAUCCUAAGCAUAGUGAUUGAUGGAUAAAAUGGCCCUGAAAUAAUAGUGGCAAAAGUGAAUUUAAAACAAUUUGUUUCUUAGGCUUUUUUUUCCUUCUUCCUAUAAAGGGAGGGAUUAGUUAAUAGAUCCACUGAGAUCAUUAUAGUGAACUUUGUGCUAGUUUCACAAAGAUCAGAAAAAACUAAUAAAAGGGUGAUUACUUAAGUGUACUUGAACUCAUUACCCUAAUUUGGCACUACAACCUUCAUUAAAAAUUGAUAUACUUCAUUAUGAAAAAAUAAAGACAGUUGGAUUUGCUUUAUAGGGUUAUCUUACUUGUAACUUCAAAUGUGUGACACAGUAAUUAUAGACUACUUGUUAAAUGUUACAUCAUUUUUCACCCAGAAGUAACAACCUUUAGAGGAAAAACACUAAUUUGUUUGAAGAUUGAUAAUAGACAAGAAAUGUUAAGUGAAUAAUAAGAUUAUAGAAAACUGUAUGACAAAGAUUUUUUAUAGGGUUAAACAUGCCUAUUUUGAAAGUGGAUAAGUUUAAGAUUAAAUUCCUCCUUAAAUGAAAUAAGUAAAAUUGCAUAAAAUAUCCAUAUCAUUUUCUUUUGAGGCAGUACUGUCUCAAUGACCCUACAAUGAAAUACAAAGAACUGACUUUCUGGAAAAGCCAGAAACCAUCAGCGUCUAAGGAACCAGCUGCAGAGGUGGCAGAAUUGAAUGAUGUAUAUAAUAAGUGGAUCUACACUGGAGCUUAAUCUAGGUGGAAGUUCUUCUCACUGCUGAGAGCACAUUAAGGAAGUAUCUAUUAUAAGAGUAAUUUCUAUAAGACUAUUUUUAAGUUAACUUAGUUGUACAAUUAAAACAUAACUUGUUAGCAUCUCUUGAAAAAGCCAUACCUCUGUAUUUGACAAUCAUCUUUGGAAAAGAAACAAAAUUCUGAAAGUUUAUUGUAGACUUCAAAAGAUAUAACGCUUACCUGCCAGAAACAGGUAAGACAGGCUGGAAGUUGUAAUAACUUUUGGAAAGGAAGUUGACAGGAACGUUCCUCGAAUAUCCACAAUCUUAAUCUCAUGUCAACUAUAAUGAAGCCAUGUAAAGGUGAGAAAAGGAAGAAACAUUAUCAUAAUCUACCGAGAUGAUUACUAUGAUCUUUUUUUUUUAAAGUAUUGUGGUCUCAUGGGUUGAUUGGUUUUUGUUUGUUUUUUCGUUUGCGUAGAAUGAGCCAAAAGGAACAGGGAAGCACUAGUCCUAGAGGUAAGAUAUGGUUAAGACUUGGGUUAAGGCUAUAACUAGGAAUAGUGAGAGAGGAUAUAUUCUAAAAAAUACAGUGGAGGAAAUGUUUACAGUACUUGAAAAUGUCAAGCAUGGUCAAUUUUCUAAUACUUACUGAGGACCGGCUAUCUCUGCUAUACUAGUUAUUAUGGACACGUGGAGAUAAGGAACAAGGAAGAGUGAAAGAUACAAAAGAACUUCCUUGUUGUGCCAGAUUAUCUUCUAUUUGUGUCUCCAUAUUCACUCUUGACUCUUUUUUACCCACCUUUCUAGAAAGCUGACCUUCAUGCAUUCUGACUACAUCAUUGCUUUCUGGCUGCCAGUUGGUUUCCAUCAGUGGGCAGCACUGGCAGGAGAUUGGAGACGUGGAGAGAGGAGAGUAAAGUCAGGUUUUUUAUUACCCUGUCUCCUACCUUGCAAAGUUGCUUCAAGAUAGCCAUAUCCAUUGACUUAAGAAUUCUGAUAAAGGCUCUUUCCCCUCUUUAGGCUUAUGGGUAGUAACAGUUCCACUGCUCUCUAGGUUACUGCACCAUUCUUUCAGUUUCUCUACACCCACAUCUUGGUAAAUAGGUCCUUUGUACUUAAAUUCGCAUCAAAUUGCCCUCUUUCUAGUGUAUCAUCUGUUUCUUGUUGGGACUUUGAUAACACUAAAUAAACUCACAGACUGAAAAAUUUUGCUUGAGUUGCCAUAACAAAACACUACAGACUGAGUAGCUUAAACAACAGAAAUUUUUCUCACACUUCAAGAGACUAGAAAUCUGAGAUCAAGGUGUCACUGCUUGACACCAAGAGAUGGUCUCUUCUGAGGCCUUUCUCACUGGCUUGUAGAUGUCCAUCUUCCCCUUGUAUCUCCACAUGGUCUUUCCUCCGUGUGUCUGUGUUCUAUCUUAUCUUCUUAUAAGAACAUCAGUCAUAUUGGAUUAGGGCUCACCCUAAUGACCUCAUUUUAACUAAAUUAUUUCUUUAAAUAUGCUACCUCCAAAUACAAUAUGAGGCACUACUGGUUAGGACUUCAACAUAUGAAUUUGGAUGGGACACAAUUCAGUGCAUAACAGACUAGUUGAGGAAGAAAGGCAUAAGAUAAAUGAGAAAAUAAUAUAUCAAGAUUAUGAGUAUAGGUAUGAAUAUAAGAAAAGGACAAUAUUGGACUUACUCUGAGCAGAACAUUAGGAAGGGGAAAAGAUAAGACUUUUUUUUAAUAAGCAGUUUUAUAAAUAUGCAAAUUUCAGUGACAGAUUCAAGUAGAGAGGCACAUACAAAAGAAGUCCCAUGAGCUAAGAACUAUCAGACCAGGAGACUGAUCUAGGAGCCAUGUAAGUAACAGAAUAACAAUAAUUACCAACAUUUAUGAAGCAUUCUGACAGAUUAUUAGUUACCUGCUCCCCUUCUUUUAUGAAAACAGAAUUAUUCAUGUUUUGGGCUGAGCCGGAAGACUUCCUUUCCUGGUUUCCCUUAAAGUUAGAUGGAGUCUUAUGACUAAGCUCUUGUCAACUAAGUGUUCACAGGGCCACUUCAAAAAAAAUUUAAGGCAGAUUGCUUAAGUCCUUCACCCUUUCCCCCUCUAAUUUUCAUCCCCUUCUCUAUCCCAUUGUUUAGAAGAAGGAUGCCACCAAGCCACACACAUGGAGCAACAGAGUAGGAGACUAAGACCAUAAUGAGUGUGAGGCUACUACACUGGUCUGCAUUAUGUUUACAUGAAAAAGAAACAUCAAUCUUGUUUUCUGUCUCACAGUUAAUCCUAAUUAACACAAACAUUUUCUAUGUACUAGGUACUGUUCUCAGUUUGUAUGUAUUAUUUUGCUUAAUCCUGUAGCAAUUCUAUAUGUAGAUUACCAUUAUUAUCCCCUAUAAGGAAACAGAGAGAUUAAGUAAUUUUCCCUAGACAGCACACCUCAUUUUUGCUGAAGUUAGGUCUUGAACCAGACUAACAGACUAUGACUACGGAGUCUGCCUUCUUAACUGCUAUGUUGAACUACCUGCCUCUUGUCUCUAAUCCUACACCCAACCCUUUUGCAUCUAAGAAACAUAAUUUUUUUGUUUUUUUUUUUUUUACUUUUUUUAAAUUAUACUUUAAGUUUUAGGGUACAUGUGAACAAUGUGCAGGUUUGUUACAUAUGUAUACAUGUGCCAUGUUGGUGUGCUGCACCCAUUAACUCGUCAUUUAACAUUAGGUAUAUCUCCUAAUGCUAUCCCUUCCCCUCCCCCCACCCCACAACAGUCCCCAGUGUGUGAUGUUCCCCUUCCUGUGUCCAUGUGUUCUCAUUGUUCAAUUCCCACCUAUGAGUGAGAACAUGCAGUGUUUGGUUUUUUGUCCCUGUGAUAGUUUGCUGAGAAUGAUGGUUUCCAGCUUCAUCCAUGUCCCUACAAAGGACAUGAACUCAUCCUUUUUUAUGGCUGCAUAGUAUUCCAUGGUGUAUAUGUGCCACAUUUUCUUAAUCCAGUCUAUCAUUGUUGGACAUUUGGGUUGGUUCCAAGUCUUUGCUAUUGUGAAUAGUGCCGCAAUAAACAUACUUGUGCAUGUGUCUUUAUAGCAGCAUGAUUUAUAAUCCUUUGGGUAUAUACCCAGUAAUGGGAUGGCUGGGUCAAAUGGUAUUUCUAGUUCUAGAUCCCUGAGGAAUCGCCACACUGACUUCCACAAUGGUUGCACUAGUUUACAGUCCCACCAGCAGUGUAAAAGUGUUCCUAUUUCUCCACAUCCUCUCCAGCACCUGUUGUUUCCUGACUUUUUAAUGAUUGCCAUUCUAACUGGUGUGAGAUGGUAUCUCAUUGUGGUUUUGAUUUGCAUUUCUCUGAUGACCAGUGAUGAUGAGCAUUUUUUCAUGUGUCUUUUGGCUGUGUAAAUGUCUUCUUUUGAGAAAUGUCUGUUCAUAUCCUUUGCCCACUUUUUGAUGGGAUGGUUGGUUUUUUUCUUGUAAAUUUGUUGGAGUUCAUUGUAGCUUCUGGAUAUUAGCCCUUUGUCAGAUGGAUAGAUUGCAAAAAUUUUCUCCCAUUUUGUAGGUUGCCUGUUCACUCUGAUGGUAGUUUCUUUUGCUGUGCAGAAGCCUUUUAGUUUAAUUAGAUCCCAUUUGUCAAUUUUGGCUUUUGUUGCCAUUGCUUUUGGUGUUUUAGACAUGAAGUCCUUGCCCAUGCCUAUGUCCUGAAUGGUAUUGCCUAGGUUUUCUUCUAGGGUUUUUAUGGUUUUAGGUCUAACAUUUAAGUCUUUAAUCCAUCUUGAAUUAAUUUUUGUACAAGA